Long non-coding RNA from Uranotaenia lowii, 245 nucleotides. RefSeq lists it as uncharacterized. The transcript is spliced from 3 exons. The record is from RefSeq and is a predicted model, not a curated record. Lineage: Eukaryota; Metazoa; Arthropoda; Insecta; Diptera; Culicidae.
GUGAAUCGUUUCCGAAGAGAGCCAGGCAUUUCGAAUCAUCCGGGAAAAGCAUAAGUUCUCCAAGCGAGAAAACACUGUUCGUUGGUGGCUCCUGUGGUUAUCGCAUCUUACCAGUCAAACUGGCAUUGGAGAGGCCAGACGGAAAGUUCCGGGAAAAGCAUCAAUUUCUGAAAGAGAAAACACCGCUGGUGGCUCCUGUGGUCAUCUCAUGACACCACACAAGCUGACAUUGGUUAAGCCAAAAG